GCAAAUUUCAUGAUGAAGCAUAGUUCAGUUGAAUUCAUCUGUGAUAACUUAACUGAAGCUCUAAUGUCUUUCGCUCCUAUCUGAAAAUGUAU
This 92-nucleotide small nucleolar RNA is filed under the name Anopheles farauti. RNAcentral's name for it is "small nucleolar RNA snR60/Z15/Z230/Z193/J17". It matches the Rfam family "Small nucleolar RNA snR60/Z15/Z230/Z193/J17". From Rfam's summary of the family: The members of this family belong to the C/D class of snoRNAs which contain the C (UGAUGA) and D (CUGA) box motifs. Most of the members of the box C/D family function in directing site-specific 2'-O-methylation of substrate RNAs. Lineage: Eukaryota; Metazoa; Arthropoda; Insecta; Diptera; Culicidae. The record is from RNAcentral.